Molecule: ribosomal RNA, 636 nt
Filed under: Triticum aestivum (bread wheat)
Lineage: Eukaryota; Viridiplantae; Streptophyta; Magnoliopsida; Poales; Poaceae
Description: partial small subunit ribosomal RNA
Source: RNAcentral
AUGGGCGCCACCGGCCAGCGUCGGAUGUCAUCUCUGCCCGCGGCGGCGGCCGCGCCUCUCCUGCUUCUGCUCGCCGUGUCCUCCUGGAGCCAGGCGGCGGCGGCUCCGGCCUGGACGACGGACCUGGAGAAGCACGUGGCGUUCUUCGACACCGACAACGACGGCAUCGUCACCUUCUCCGAAACCGAGCAAGGGCUUCGUGCCAUCGGUCUCGGAGUUCUCGAGGCGACGGCCAGCGCGACCCUGAUCAACGGAGCCAUCGGACCCAAGACCAGACCUGAAAAUGCUACGACAUCGCGGUUUGACAUCUACAUAGCGAACAUCCAGAAGGGGAUCCACGGGAGCGACAGCGGUUCGUACGAUGCUCAAGGAAGGUUUGUUCCGGCCAAGUUCAACGAGAUAUUCACCAAGUACGCCAUGGUCAAGCCGAACGCCCUGAACGAGGACGAGCUGGAUGCGAUGCGCACUGCCAACAGGAAGGAGGGUGACUUCAAAGGAUGGGCGGCGUCGAAGGCGGAGUGGGGCAUGCUCUACAGCCUCGCCAAGGACAAGGACGGCUUCCUUCAGAAGGACACCGUGCGCACCGUCUAUGAUGGUAGCCUCUUCGCUAAGCUGGCGAAGAAGGCUGGAAAUUAA